Long non-coding RNA from Ornithorhynchus anatinus (platypus), 717 nucleotides. RefSeq lists it as uncharacterized. The record is from RefSeq and is a predicted model, not a curated record. The transcript has 3 exons. NCBI's taxonomy places the organism in Eukaryota, Metazoa, Chordata, Mammalia, Monotremata, Ornithorhynchidae.
UAUCAAUAAUUAUUAUUCUUUUUCUUGACAAAAAUGCUGAUUCCAAGGGAAAAUCCUUGGCCCACGGCUUGGAUUCGCCAUUCGAUUGCCAACUUCCCACUUCUCUCGGAUUAGGGGGCCCCUAAUUUAGGAUCAACCUCAAAACUCCCGGGUAGGAGACCAGCAGCGUGGACCUCAUCGAAGCUGUCGAGGAGAAGGAUCUUCUGUCCCGUGACAGUAAUCUGGGGAUUAGGACUGUGUCAGAUGUUCACGCUAUAAAAAAUCAGUAAGCAUCGAUUGGAAUUAUAGACCCUGCCUGACUUCAGAAGAGGUAUUCAUUUGUGCGACGUCCGCCAACAGAAUGACACCUUCAUCGCAAUCUUUUUCGUUCUGCUAGCUUCGAUUCUCAUCCAUCGCGUUGACUGAGCCUCCGCUGUGCACGCUGGACUCUGUACAAGACGCUGGGGGCUCAUGCGGGAAAAAACAAGGGGAGAGUCACAAGAAAGUAUUUCUCUUCCCCUGUCCUUGAGAAGCUGAGAAGCGGAAGGGGGAGACGGGACGAGAGGAACUCUGGAGGACUAUAAAGAUGGCUUCCAAAUUCCAUCCCAACCACUGUGGGGUCCCUAACAAGCGGUUGCCCUGAAUCCUGAGGCAGUUCGACCUGGCGGAAAGAGUUUGGCCCUGGGAGUCGGGCGACCUGGAUCCCAAUCCCGGUCCCGCCACCCGUCCGCGGUGUCA